Long non-coding RNA from Medicago truncatula (barrel medic), 511 nucleotides. RefSeq lists it as uncharacterized. The record is from RefSeq and is a predicted model, not a curated record. Lineage: Eukaryota; Viridiplantae; Streptophyta; Magnoliopsida; Fabales; Fabaceae. The transcript is spliced from 2 exons.
UAAUUAAUAGAUAAGGAUAUAAUAGGAAAAAUAACAUUAAUAUUUCAUUGGUAUUGUAAAGCGACAUAUAAUUUGGGACAAAUUUUUUUUUUAAAACGACAUACAAUUUGGGACGGAAGGAGUAUUUGUUACAUGUAAAGGGAGAAAAAUAUGACUAAAACUCUCAAAUUUAUACUUACUAUGAUUUUAUUGCUUUCCUUAUUUCUUGUUGCAGAAAGUGGUGGUAAAUAUGAAAAUAUUCCAUGUGAGUCUAGGGAACAAUGUCCAAAUACUGCGACUCGCAGGUAUGCAUGCUUGAACAAACUGUGUUAUUGCUAUGACAACAAUUAUCCUAAUGGUUGGAAUCCAUUUGAGCCAUAAGGAAAUUCCUUGAUUUAGUUAUACCAGAGUGAGACCAUAAAUUGCAUGAGUAUCAUAUCAAUGACUUCUUUUUUAAAGUGUAAAAUUGUAUCUUUUACCUAAAAAUCUACGGUUUCCAUUCAUCUACUGUGAUCAUGGAGCCUCAUAAUUA